AAACGACUCUCGGCAACGGAUAUCUCGGCUCUCGCAUCGAUGAAGAACGUAGCGAAAUGCGAUACUUGGUGUGAAUUGCAGAAUCCCGUGAACCAUCGAGUCUUUGAACGCAAGUUGCGCCUGAAGCUAUCUGGCCGAGGGCAUGUCUGCUUGGGUGUCACGU
Molecule: ribosomal RNA, 163 nt
Filed under: Salomonia cantoniensis
Lineage: Eukaryota; Viridiplantae; Streptophyta; Magnoliopsida; Fabales; Polygalaceae
Description: 5.8S ribosomal RNA
Rfam family: 5.8S ribosomal RNA
About the family: 5.8S ribosomal RNA (5.8S rRNA) is a component of the large subunit of the eukaryotic ribosome. It is transcribed by RNA polymerase I as part of the 45S precursor that also contains 18S and 28S rRNA.
Source: RNAcentral